Molecule: ribosomal RNA, 495 nt
Filed under: uncultured bacterium
Lineage: Bacteria
Description: partial 16S ribosomal RNA
Rfam family: Bacterial small subunit ribosomal RNA
Source: RNAcentral
GACGAACGCUGGCGGCGUGCCUAAUACAUGCAAGUAGAACGCUGAAGGAGGAGCUUGCUUCUCUGGAUGAGUUGCGAACGGGUGAGUAACGCGUAGGUAACCUGCCUGGUAGCGGGGGAUAACUAUUGGAAACGAUAGCUAAUACCGCAUAAUAGUACAUGUUGCAUGAUAUUUGCUUAAAAGGUGCAAUUGCAUCACUACCAGAUGGACCUGCGUUGUAUUAGCUAGUUGUUGGGGUAACGGCUCACCAAGGCGACGAUACAUAGCCGACCUGAGAGGGUGAUCGGCCACACUGGGACUGAGACACGGCCCAGACUCCUACGGGAGGCAGCAGUAGGGAAUCUUCGGCAAUAGACGGAAGUCUGACCGAGCAACGCCGCGUGAGUGAAGAAGGUUUUCGGAUCGUAAAGCUCUGUUGUAAGAGAAGAACGAGUGUGAGAGUGGAAAGUUCACACUGUGACGGUAUCUUACCAGAAAGGGACGGCUAACUACGUG